RNAcentral lists this ribosomal RNA (122 nucleotides) under Pteropus alecto (black flying fox). Lineage: Eukaryota; Metazoa; Chordata; Mammalia; Chiroptera; Pteropodidae. The record is from RNAcentral.
GUCUAUACCCAUGCCACCCUGAACAAGCCCGAUCCCGUCUGAUUUCAGAAGCUAAGCAGGGUCGGGACUGGUUAGUAGUUCUUGGAUGGGAGACCAUCUAGGAAGACCAGGUGCUGUAGGCA